RNAcentral lists this ribosomal RNA (495 nucleotides) under uncultured bacterium. RNAcentral describes it as "SSU rRNA". It matches the Rfam family "Bacterial small subunit ribosomal RNA", at positions 26 to 521 of the family's 1533-position model. The record is from RNAcentral.
AGGACGAACGCUGGCGGCGUGCUUAACACAUGCAAGUGGAGCGACGAACCAGGGCUUGCCCUGGGGCAGAGCCGCGAACGGGUGAGUAACACGUGGGUUACCUGCCUCGAUGACCGGGACAACCCGAGGAAACUCGGGCUAAUACCGGAUGUGCCCGCAAGGGGAAAGGAAGCUUCGGCCUCCGCAUCGAGAUGGGCCCGCGGCCCAUUAGCUUGUUGGUGAGGUAACGGCUCACCAAGGCUUCGAUGGGUAGCUGGUCUGAGAGGACGAUCAGCCACACUGGGACUGAGACACGGCCCAGACUCCUACGGGAGGCAGCAGUGGGGAAUCUUGCGCAAUGCGCGAAAGCGUGACGCAGCAACGCCGCGUGGGGGAAGAAGGCUUUCGGGUUGUAAACCCCUUUCAGUUGGGACGAAGCUUCUCCGGUGAAUAGCCGGAUGGAGUGACGGUACCUUCACAAGAAGCACCGGCUAACUACGUGCCAGCAGCCGCGGU